RNAcentral lists this ribosomal RNA (773 nucleotides) under Candidatus Nealsoniibacteriota bacterium. Its description in RNAcentral is "bacterial SSU rRNA". It matches the Rfam family "Bacterial small subunit ribosomal RNA", at positions 726 to 1520 of the family's 1533-position model. Lineage: Bacteria; Candidatus Nealsoniibacteriota. The record is from RNAcentral.
CAGCUGGGGCGACCCUGACGCUGAGAGACGAAAGCGUAGGGAGAGAACGGGAUUAGAUACCCCGGUAUUCUACGCUGUAAACGAUGGAUACUAACUGCCUGAAGUGUCGACCCUUCGGGUGGUGAAGCUAACGCGUUAAGUAUCCCGCCUGGGAAGUACGGCCGCAAGGCUAAAACUCAAAGGAAUAGACGGGGAUUCACACAAGCGGUGGAUCAUGUGGCUUAAUUCGACAGUAAGCGAAGAACCUUACCAGGGUUUGAAAGGUUAGUGAAAUCCUGUUGAAAAGCAGGACUACCCACAAGGACACUAACCCAGGUGCUGCACGGCUGCCGUCAGCAUGUGCUUUGAAGUGCUCCCUUAAAUGGGGUAACAUGCGCAACCCCUAUUCUACGUUACAAGUGUCGUAGAAAACUGCCUGGGAUAACCAGGAGGAAGGUGGGGACGACGUCAAGUCAGCGUGGCCCUUUGAUAUCCUGGGCUGCACACAUGAUACAAUGGGACCGACAAUGGGCUGCUAAGCAGUAAUGCGGAGCUAAUCCCUGAAAACGGUCUCUCAGUCCGGAUUGAGGUCUGCAAUUCGACCUCAUGAAGCUGGAAUCGCUAGUAAUCGUGCAUCAGCUACGGCGCGAUGAAUACGUUCCUGAAUCUUGUACUCACCGCCCGUCAAGUCAAGCGAGCUGGGAAUACCCGAAGCACCUUUUUCAAGGUACCACGGUAGGCUCAGUAAGAGGGACUAAGUCGUAACAAGGCAUCGGUAGGGGAACCUGUCGAUG